RNAcentral lists this ribosomal RNA (222 nucleotides) under uncultured bacterium. RNAcentral's name for it is "partial 16S ribosomal RNA". It matches the Rfam family "Bacterial small subunit ribosomal RNA", at positions 109 to 334 of the family's 1533-position model. The record is from RNAcentral.
AGUAAUGCUUGGGAAUCUAGCUUAUGGAGGGGGAUAACUACGGGAAACUGUAGCUAAUACCGCGUAAUAUCGGAGGAUUAAAGUGUGGGACCUUCGGGCCACAUGCCAUAGGAUGAGCCCAAGUGGGAUUAGGUAGUUGGUGAGGUAAAGGCUCACCAAGCCGACGAUCUCUAGCUGGUCUGAGAGGAUGACCAGCCACACUGGGACUGAGACACGGCCCAG